Molecule: long non-coding RNA, 4348 nt
Organism: Lytechinus pictus (painted urchin)
Lineage: Eukaryota; Metazoa; Echinodermata; Echinoidea; Temnopleuroida; Toxopneustidae
Exons: 2
Source: RefSeq, a predicted model, not a curated record
CAGAAUAUCAAGUAUGAGCAUACGUAUGAUGAUGAUGAUGGCAACACCCACUUCUUGGCAUACUCUCUUACAGCAAUCAUUCUCAUCUUAGCCACCUACAUCAUGUAUCACAACAAGCAAAAGAUCAUUGCCGUAGUCAUAGAGGGCAGGAACAGCAGGGGGAGAAGAAAGCGAGGAGGGUCAGGAUACCAGAAGCUAGACCAGAACAUCAGCGAAGCAAUGCCAUCCAUGCAUAGCCAAAAUGCAUAAACUCCAAUACUACACAGCAUUAUCUAUUAGGGCUGACACACCUUGGGGGAGGGUUAGUUUAACAAAUAUUUAAGUGUAAUUUAGAGUCCCAUUUAAAUUCCUAUUUGUGGUUUAAAAGACAUCACUGAAUUGAUCAAACCAUGCUAAGGUGAUGCAUGCUUCUGUGUAUUAAUAAAUAAGAUUACUAUUAUGGUAACUGUGCCAUCCAAUGGUAACUACCAUGGUAACGACAAUCAACAGCCAAUCAGAAUCAAGGAUUCCAUGCAAGUUACCAUAAUGGUAACUUUUGUGCUACGGGGCCCUGAUGCGAGGAUUGUGGUAGCUUAUUACAAGAGUCGGUGAAAUUCAUUUUUUUCAUGAAAUACUUGCCUGGUCAUUCAUGAAUUACAGAGGUAAUCUAGCUCAGAAUGAUGUGAUUUGAAUGAGUCGAGUAAUAUAAAUCAAGUGAAACACUGCUUGGUUAACCAAACUUUGAUGAUGAAAAGUAAUUUGCACUUACAGUAUGUUGCAUAAUUUUGGAACUGCAUACCCAAGCUUUUUAAUUUGAUGUGCAAGACUUGCAAGUAAAAAGUCAGUGAGCAAUAUGGUAAAAAAAAUUGCACGACAGAAUAAUUGAGGAAAAUGUUGAGGGAGGAGUUGUUCAAUACAAUCAUCCUGCAAUGAUUAUGUUACCAAGUAAAAAAACAAGUAGGCCUACAGGUAACUUAUUUUCCUCAAAACAUGUUGGUUUCUUAAAAAUUAUAUUAUAGACAUUUAUAUACUGAAAUCUACACUGUACUAUUGAUAGGAAAUAGUCAUACUUGGUUAUUUUGUAGCACAUCACACAUCACAGAUUGCAUGUCUUUAUGUGAUAAAAGGAUAGAAAUCUCAAGUUAUAUUCAUAAGACUCGCUCUUAUAAUGCACAGUUAGUGAGACACCACAUGCAAUAUCAGUAAGUUUGGUCUCGCCUUAAGGACGUUCCACGGUUAAAAUGAAAUCCAUGCAUUUUCAUCAAACUUUACAUAUAAAUACUUUAGCACCUGAAUAUUUCAUGUAAAAAUUAACGUUGGUCCAUGUGCUUGAUUUUUUGCUAUGGAGCUUCAAAGUUCACCCAAAUGGAUGAGAACUGCAUUCAAAAGAAUUUGGCAUUUUUAGACCUCACGAGAUCACUACAAUGAGUUUAAACCUCCAUUACUCAGUCAAAAUCUAUGAAAAUUUCAUCAUAUUUUGCAAUGUAGUUAAUAAUUGUAUACUUAAGAUGGAGGAUCUAUCUAUAUUGCUAUUUGAUUGCUCUUUUAAGUAUAACAGCACUGUCAGUUCUUAAAAAGUGGUUUGAAAUAUAACAAAAACCCAAUCUUAAAAUUUUAAAUUUCAAUAACAAACUUGAGAAGUACAAUAAAUGCUGCACUUUAUUUAAAAUCCAUGUCAUUUUUACCAAACAUUGGUGCAAACAUUAAAAAUUAUGGGUUCAUGUGCUUGUUUUCAAAUUAUCAGCACUUUUAUAUGAGCAAAUGUGCUUUUUCAAAUACAAAAAAUGCACCAAAUGCUUUGUAUCUAUGUGAAUCACUGAUACCAUUUCUUCAAACUCGGGGUCAUAUUCAUCAUACUGUGCAGCACUGUAGAGUAAAGUAUUUUGAAAUUGAAAAUGGUCCAUGAAGUAAUUCAAGUUUAUUAGGUUCAUAAAAGAACACAUCAAAUCUGCAGUUAGAGUGCAGAUAAUAAGAAAAGUCAGCUCAUACCUACAGCUGAUUAAUCACCUGUUCAUCCAUUGUGACGUCAGCGCACAGAGUGUAAAAUAUGCGCAUAUCAUGAUGUGCACAAACAUAACUGUGGAACGUCCUUAAUAGGAGAAUUAAGGACUUUAUGUGAUACUCUUGUUCUUUUCCUCACAUUUAUUUGCCAGCUGUGAAUACACUUAUGACUCUUCUCUGACUUGUAAUAUCAGUAAACCCUUAUACCACUAGGUUCUUUCUGGUCAGUAUAUAUUUGGGGAGGAGGGCAUUAUAGCCCCCUUAAUACUUUGCCAUGGAUCACCUGCUUACCCCCUAAAUAUUCCAUGAGGGUAGAGGAUUUGCACUUCACAGCAUUUUGAUUAGAUUAAAUAAAUUCUUUUGAUGUAUAUAUUCUGUUGAUUAAUCAUGCUAAGGUAUGAAGUCAAAAUUUGGUCAUAAAUCUUUAAAUCAAUGCCCCAAACUGCUAUUCUAUUUAGUGACUCUUUUAGGGAUUGGAUCAGAAUAUCUGAAAGAGUCACUAAAUGAAAUACAUGCUGAUCCAGUGUGGGUCAACAUGAAUAAGAUAUGAAUUGUAUUCUCUUACAUAUUUAUCUUUGUUUUUGUUUUUUUAUAAAAAAAAGGAAAAAGAAAGUUGCUUAUUUGAUGGGAAUGGUCUGUGACACUAUUCCAAUCAUAAAUCAUUAAAAUGAUGUACAUGUAUGUUUAUCACUAAAAGAAGCAAUAAUAAUGUGUUUUGUUGGUGAGAAACUGAAAUCAUGUUGGAUUAGUAUUUAAAAUAAUAUUUUUCAGCAGUUUUGAGUUAGGCAUACACUUUCAAAGUGAUGCAUAACACGAUGUCACGAAUUUGGUCUGAAAAGAUAGUUGAAAGAAAAAUAAAUAAUCAAGAAACUAGUCAAUUGUUUCUGUAUGGUGAAAGUAUUGCGUGAAACCUUUAGGGGCUGGGGCAUAAUACUACCCCGCCCCCAGUCAUUUUAGGGUUAAUCUAGUAUAUGCUUUUGUUGCAUAACAUAUUAUUUUCUCAUCAGUCAAUUCAAUUGCUUGUACAUACUUGUCAAUUUACCACAUUCAAAAUGUGCCUUCUAGUAUAACAUCACCAUAAGAAUUUUUGUUUUGGUUUAUAUAUUUUGUUCGUUUCUUUGUUCAAUUUUAAUUUGACCAUUUUUAUUGGUGGAAGUCACUUCUAUUUAGAGAUACUUUACAACUCAAUUGAUUUUACUGCUGUAUUGAUAUAUUAUAUAUGUUAAACUGGUAUAUUAUGUAUUGCUGCUUGUUGCUUUUAUUUUGAAGAAAAUAACAUAGUAUCUCGGCCACCAGAAAUCAAGUUGAGACCAAGGUAUCUAAAUGAUGGCCUUCAUCUGUUCAUUACAGAUCUUGUUAUAUGCUUUGUGUGGUCUCAUUGCAUUGAAUUGAAUUGGAUUCAUUUAUUUUCCAUUAAAAAAAACAUGCAAAAUCAAGAAUAUACAACAUUACAAAGUAUAAAAAUGAGACAUUAUACAAAUGACGUAUACUUUGAAAUAAAUGCAAAAUACUUCGUUUUAUAUAUACAUAUUAGGAAAAUUGGAUGCCCAUGGAAGCAUUAUGCUUGUAGGGUUGGGUCGCCCAGAAAAAAUAUGAAUCAGUAAAUGAUAGAAUACAUAAUACAGUUAUAUGGAAUACUAAAUGGAUAAGGUCAUUGGUGAUUUCAGGUCAAAUAUUAGUCUUCCUGCAAGAUUUUCAUAUGACAUAACUUUGCAACCGUUGGUCCCUUUUUUUUUGGGGGGGGGGGGAGUUGUCAGGGGCACUGUUCCCAUCAUUAAGAACAUCAAAUUAAUUGAGUAAAAAGGAUACACUGGUCAAUUCUUUGGCUUUGACUUUGAACAUCAAAUCCUAUUUUUUGAGAAAUGUUUGAGUUGGUCUAACCUGCAUUGACAAAGCGUAACUUUGUACCUGGGCUUCACAAGUUUGGUCUCAAAAAGUUGUGAAAGACAAGAUAACAUGCCCCCCCCCCCCACUCGUCUUAGUAAGGUAGAACUUCAAGGGGAAUUAUGUACCGAGGAGUAGCAUUUUUUUUUUAAAAGUAGUCCUAGAAUUUGAAAGGAUGUUACAAUCAACUAUGUCCUAUAUUGCCCACUACAGCUGUGGCUGUGGCAAUGGACUGCAAUAUUUCUAUUCAUUUCAUUUUUGCAAUUGGCCGAGAUAUCCCAAAUGAUUUGUGGGAAUUCAUAAUUUUUUUUUGAUGUGAUGUUUUUUUUAAGUAAGUAUAAGAUAUGUACCUUUUGUAUAUAUUCCAUACAAAUACAUUAAUAUGUGUAACCAUGUUGUAAAUUUCAUUUUUGUAGUUAAGAUGCAAUAUUGUAUGAACGUACAUAAGUUAAUUAAAGUAAAAGCAAGCGUAUAUCAUGGUUAA